CCACUUGGAGCAGAAGUUUAAGGUUCAUGUUUUUGUUACCAGGACAGGAGCAGGUUUUGCAAAUUAUAGAGCCAGUCCUGAAGAGGUAAAGGAAUAUAAAAGGGCCUUUCUUCAAGACAUUAUGUGAAUUUCACGAAAACACGCACGGUUAAAAGUGGAACAUUUGGUGAAUAUUAGGGAUUUUAAAAAAUGUUUCAAAGAAGUAUUUUAAAUGGUCAUAUUUUAUGGAGCCUUCUCUGAUGGUCCCCCAGGCAGAUAGACAUCUUACGAUGCACAGGCAGCCCCACACAACACAGCACUCUGUGUUGCACGGUAAUCAACGAGAUUACUUGUCUUUCUCAUCCAAAAGGUAGUAACUUUCUUGAGGACGGAGUUGUGUGUUUCAUGUCUGAAAGGCAGGCUAUGUGGAAAGAGCCGGUGUUCCCGCAAUGGAGGUGUUUCUGCACUCACUCUUCCAGAGUUAACUAUAUGACCGUAAGAAAAUUACUUACUUUUUAUACUCAUUUUCCUAAUCUGCAAAUGGUUAAAAAUUAUGACUUCUUCAAAGGGUCAUUGCAAGGAAGGUAAGUUCAUGGGUGAAUAGUGCCUAGUACAUAGCAGAUAAAUUAUUAUUUAUUGUUGAAUAUUUAAAUAUAAGAUGCAACUGAAAAACAUCUGCUCGUGUUUUUCAUUUUGAAAACUGUGGAUCUUUUAAAAAGACUCAAUGAAAAAUAAGGAUUAAAAUAAAAUGAUCUUUUUAUACCGCCUUUGUUCUUUCUUUUAAUCUUCUCUUUUACCAUCUUUUCAGGAAGACACUCAUUGGAUUACGCUUUUAUAAUUUUCCUAGCCUGUCUCUAAUAUCUCCUACUAUAUGUAACAAUAUGCCCAUAGCUUUGUGACUUGUAAGUAUUCCCUCAGCCCACAAAUUCACUAACAUAAUCUUUUCUUUCUCCAUUUUACUGUCAAAAUUCACAUGUUUCUUGCACAGGUUCUCCUCACAUUUCUUCACUGUGAAAACAUUACAAACUUGCAAAGCUUGUUUAUUACCCAUCACGAUACAGGAACUAAACACACUCUUGAAGAUCUCCCAGUGACUUUCUUAUCGCCAAAAUUCAUGGAUUUUAUAAUAUUAUUAU
RNAcentral lists this long non-coding RNA (1115 nucleotides) under Homo sapiens (human). Its description in RNAcentral is "HSALNT0296500". Lineage: Eukaryota; Metazoa; Chordata; Mammalia; Primates; Hominidae. The record is from RNAcentral.